Molecule: ribosomal RNA, 497 nt
Filed under: uncultured bacterium
Lineage: Bacteria
Description: partial 16S ribosomal RNA
Rfam family: Bacterial small subunit ribosomal RNA
Source: RNAcentral
GAUGAACGCUGGCGGCGUGCCUAAUACAUGAAAGUCGAGCGAACGGACGAGAAGCUUGCUUCUCUGAUGUUAGCGGCGGACGGGUGAGUAACACGUGGAUAACCUACCUAUAAGACUGGGAUAACUUCGGGAAACCGGAGCUAAUACCGGAUAAUAUUUUGAACCGCAUGGUUCAAAAGCGAAAGACGGUCUUGCUGUCACUUAUAGAUGGAUCCGCGCUGCAUUAGCUAGUUGGUAAGGUAACGGCUUACCAAGGCAACGAUGCAUAGCCGACCUGAGAGGGUGAUCGGCCAGACUGGAACUGAGACACGGUCCAGACUCCUACGGGAGGAAGCAGUAGGGAAUCUUACGCAAUGGGCGAAAGCCUGACGGAGCAACGCCGCGUGAGUGAUGAAGGUCUUCGGAUCGUAAAACUCUGUUAUUAGGGAAGAACAUAUGUGUAAGUAACUGUGCACAUCUUGACGGUACCUAAUCAGAAAGCCACGGCUAACUACGUG